CACUAUGUGGCCCAAAUUAUCCUUAAACU
RNAcentral lists this non-coding RNA (29 nucleotides) under Mus musculus (house mouse). The record is from RNAcentral. Lineage: Eukaryota; Metazoa; Chordata; Mammalia; Rodentia; Muridae.